UACAGAGGGGGCAAGCGUUGUUCGGAAUUACUGGGCGUAAAGGGCGCGUAGGCGGCCUGUUAAGUCGAACGUGAAAUCCCCGGGCUCAACCCGGGAACUGCGUCCGAUACUGGCAGGCUUGAAUCCGGGAGAGGGAUGCGGAAUUCCAGGUGUAGCGGUGAAAUGCGUAGAUAUCUGGAGGAACACCGGUGGCGAAGGCGACAUCCUGGACCGGUAUUGACGCUGAGGCGCGAAAGCCAGGGGAGCAAACGGG
Molecule: ribosomal RNA, 253 nt
Filed under: uncultured bacterium
Lineage: Bacteria
Description: partial 16S ribosomal RNA
Rfam family: Bacterial small subunit ribosomal RNA
Source: RNAcentral